This 75-nucleotide transfer RNA is filed under the name Holosporaceae bacterium. RNAcentral describes it as "tRNA-Val". It matches the Rfam family "tRNA". From Rfam's summary of the family: Transfer RNA (tRNA) molecules are approximately 80 nucleotides in length. Lineage: Bacteria; Pseudomonadati; Pseudomonadota; Alphaproteobacteria; Holosporales; Holosporaceae. The record is from RNAcentral.
GGGUGAUUAGCUCAGUGGUAGAGCAUCUCGUUUACACCGAGGGGGUCGGCAGUUCGAAUCUGUCAUCGCCCACCA